UACGUAGGGACCAAGCGUUGUCCGGAAUCAUUGGGCGUAAAGAGCUCGUAGGCGGCUCAGUAAGUCAGGUGUGAAACCUCCAGGCUCAACCUGGAGACGCCACCUGAUACUGCUGUGGCUAGAGUCCGGUAGGGGAGCGUGGAAUUCCUGGUGUAGCGGUGAAAUGCGCAGAUAUCAGGAGGAACACCAGCGGCGAAGGCGGCGCUCUGGGCCGGAACUGACGCUGAGGAGCGAAAGCGUGGGUAGCAAACAGG
RNAcentral lists this ribosomal RNA (254 nucleotides) under uncultured bacterium. RNAcentral's name for it is "partial 16S ribosomal RNA". It matches the Rfam family "Bacterial small subunit ribosomal RNA", at positions 524 to 776 of the family's 1533-position model. The record is from RNAcentral.